GGGUCAGCAAGUUGGCCGUGCCACUGGUAUGUACUGGCUUUACUGAUUCCUCCUUCUUGCAGAACCGUAAUGCCAUUAAUUUGGUGUUGCGGGGAAACAGGACUGUUACUUUGAAAAAAUUAGAGUGUUUAAAGCAGGCUAACGCUUGAAUACAUUAGCAUGGAAUAAUGAAAUAGGACGUUCGAUCCUAUUUUGUUGGUUUCUAGGAUUGACGUAAUGAUUAAUAGGGAUAGUUGGGCU
RNAcentral lists this ribosomal RNA (240 nucleotides) under uncultured Glomeromycotina. RNAcentral's name for it is "partial 18S ribosomal RNA". The stretch from base 39 to 240 matches the Rfam family "Eukaryotic small subunit ribosomal RNA", at positions 685 to 888 of the family's 1831-position model. The record is from RNAcentral. Lineage: Eukaryota; Fungi; Glomeromycota.